GUGACAAACCGACASAUGACGAGUUUUAUUUUACCACCGCGUGUCGGUACGGUUUCACGUCCUGASUBGGAUUKCGCUWACCCCGUGSUUUAUCACGCUGGAGACCAGAUUCCGUCCCUCGAUCCAGAGAUGGAGGGGGGUGCUUCAGGAUCUCACACCACGCCGGCCCGACCCCUGUCAAGAAGCUUGGGGCCUGACUUUUCGUAUCAGAAGCCCCGGAUACGGGGCAUUUGCGGAUGCUGUGCUGCUAUCUAUUHUCUAAAAUBACUCUCANAACGGAUAUCUCGGCUCUKUAUCGAUAAAUAAUUUAAAAUUUUGCAAUACUUGGUGUGAAUUGCAAA
This 341-nucleotide unclassified non-coding RNA is filed under the name Matthiola ovatifolia. Its description in RNAcentral is "sequence contains ITS1, 5.8S rRNA gene and ITS2". The record is from RNAcentral. Lineage: Eukaryota; Viridiplantae; Streptophyta; Magnoliopsida; Brassicales; Brassicaceae.